GAUGAAACUUAAACGAUCUCCUCGGAGUGAACUUAAGUGGAUUAGUGGCGGACGGGUGAGUAACGCGUGAGUAACCUGCCUUAGAGAAGGGGAUAGCCUUUGGAAACGAAGAAUAAUACCCUAUGACAUGAUAGCCUCGCAUGAGAUUAUCAUCAAAGAUUUAUCGCUCUAAGAUGGACUUGCGUCUGAUUAGUUAGUUGGUGGGGUAACGGCCCACCAAGACAGCGAUCAGUAGCCGGCUUGAGAGAGUGUACGGCCACAUUGGGACUGAGACACGGCCCAGACUCCUACGGGAGGCAGCAGUGGGGAAUUUUGCACAAUGGGGGAAACCCUGAUGCAGCGACGCCGCGUGAUUUAGAAGGCCUUCGGGUUGUAAAAAUCUUUUCUAUGGGAAGAACAUGACAGUACCAUAGGAAUAAGGACCGGCUAAUUACGUGCCAGCAGCCGCGGUAAUACGUAAGGUCCGAGCGUUGUCCGGAAUCAUUGGGCGUAAAGGGUACGUAGGCGGGUAAGCAAGUUAGAAGUGAAAUCCUAUAGCUCAACUAUAGUAAGCUUUUAAAACUGCUCAUCUUGAGGUAUGGAAGGGAAAGUGGAAUUCCUAGUGUAGCGGUGAAAUGCGCAGAUAUUAGGAGGAAUACCGGUGGCGAAGGCGACUUUCUGGCCAUAACCUGACGCUGAGGUACGAAAGCGUGGGUAGCAAACAGGAUUAGAUACCCCUGGUAGUCCACGCCGUAAACGAUGAGUGUUAGGUGUCUGGAGUAAAUCUGGGUGCCGCAGCUAACGCAUUAAACACUCCGCCUGGGGAGUACGCGCGCAAGCGUG
This 822-nucleotide ribosomal RNA is filed under the name uncultured Clostridia bacterium. RNAcentral's name for it is "bacterial SSU rRNA". It matches the Rfam family "Bacterial small subunit ribosomal RNA", at positions 54 to 896 of the family's 1533-position model. The record is from RNAcentral. Lineage: Bacteria; Bacillati; Bacillota; Clostridia.